RNAcentral lists this long non-coding RNA (741 nucleotides) under Homo sapiens (human). RNAcentral describes it as "HSALNT0119416". Lineage: Eukaryota; Metazoa; Chordata; Mammalia; Primates; Hominidae. The record is from RNAcentral.
GUGUCUGGGAGUUGGGCGAGAGCUGCAGACUUGGAGGCUCUUAUACCUCCGUGCAGGCGGAAAGUUUGGGGGCAGCAGUGUCAUUGGCCUGACGUGAGGAGGAGGGACUUUUCGAAGUUUUAUAGGAAAGUUUCCGCUUUCCAGUCCCCCUCCCCCGUCCCACCUCCCUUCCUCGGGGUCUAACAAUUCGUCCUCCCAAACCAUUCAAAAACGACCUGGCCCGGGCGGCCGGCCCCUCCACCCGCCUCCUAGCCGCCCUCCCCCUUCCCUCCCCGUCGCCUUCCUCCGGCGGGCGCGGGGCGAUUUCCUUCCCCGCCGGAGCGUGCGGGCAGCGCCCCCGAACCCUAGCGCAGCCCAGGAAGCGGUCGGAGGAGACUGUCCUGGCCGCGGUGGCAGCCCCAUCCGGAGUGGCUGUGACAGCAGCAAUGGCAACAGCUUCUACACAGUGGGUGAUGUCUCAUCUCGCCCAAGAGCCCUCUAGGCUGGAGAGUUGGUGUCUUAGCUGCCCAUUAACCUUGUUGGAAAACACACUCACUUCACUUGUAUCAAAGAGUUGCUGGAAUAACUGAUGAAAGAAUGCAAGAAAUAAAUAGUUAUUCAUAGGAACUAUUAUCAUGGUCUCAGUCUUUCUACAUAGCAUUAUGUGUCUUCUUUUUAAUCAUCCGAUGACCAGUAAUUUAAAUAUAAAUGGAAUGAUUUACAUUCUAUGUUUUUUCAAUUCAAUUUCUCUUUCUGAUUACU